Long non-coding RNA from Hermetia illucens (black soldier fly), 502 nucleotides. RefSeq lists it as uncharacterized. The transcript has 2 exons. NCBI's taxonomy places the organism in Eukaryota, Metazoa, Arthropoda, Insecta, Diptera, Stratiomyidae. The record is from RefSeq and is a predicted model, not a curated record.
UCAUAUAAGGAUUAUACGAAGACAGUUGAGAAGGACAAGACACUUUGAUUUGAAAUUUUCAGAAGACACACCACAUCUGUAAUCGUUUUUGCUGGAAAUUCCCAGCAAUGAUUAAUACAUAACUGAAACUUAUUAUCACUAAGAUACAACACACUCCUUCCACUUGCUCGUUAUUCACGAUUCACAUCAUUUACUCUAUACUUUCCUGCGCAUACACAUACAUAGAGGUACGAAUUUUACUGACCUAUUCUCUCCUCCUCGGUUUGCUAUCCUUACAGGACUUGUCAGAUUGUAUGCUGAAAGGCUCAUUAGGCAUUGACUCAGGAUAACCGACUACGAUGCCCAGAGAGGCAAGAAGUUUUCGAAUGUAAAAAUGUGUCAUUGGAGUUUUCGUAUUGGUACUUCGUUUUCCAGAUUAUGGACCGACUAUAUAUCCUUAAAUAUUAAUUAUAUAAAUUUAAAUACACUUCAAUAUAAACAAUAAAAUAUUCAUAUCCAUUCA